AUUGAACGCUGGCGGCAUGCCUUACACAUGCAAGUCGAACGGCAGCGGGGGAGAAGCUUGCUUUUCCUGCCGGCGAGUGGCGAACGGGUGAGUAAUACAUCGGAACGUGCCCUGUAGUGGGGGAUAACUAGUCGAAAGAUUAGCUAAUACCGCAUACGACCUGAGGGUGAAAGUGGGGGACCGCAAGGCCUCAUGCUAUAGGAGCGGCCGAUGUCUGAUUAGCUAGUUGGUGGGGUAAAGGCCUACCAAGGCGACGAUCAGUAGCUGGUCUGAGAGGACGAUCGGCCACACUGGGACUGAGACACGGCCCAGACUCCUACGGGAGGCAGCAGUGGGGAAUUUUGGACAAUGGGCGAAAGCCUGAUCCAGCAAUGCCGCGUGUGUGAAGAAGGCCUUCGGGUUGUAAAGCACUUUUGUCCGGAAAGAAAUGGCUCUGGUUAAUACCUGGGGUCGAUGACGGUACUGGAAGAAUAAGGACCAGCUAACUACGUGCCAGCCGCCGCGUAA
Molecule: ribosomal RNA, 507 nt
Filed under: uncultured bacterium
Lineage: Bacteria
Description: partial 16S ribosomal RNA
Rfam family: Bacterial small subunit ribosomal RNA
Source: RNAcentral